RNAcentral lists this long non-coding RNA (8197 nucleotides) under Brassica napus (rape). RNAcentral describes it as "long non-coding RNA (BNAP_LNC016707)". Lineage: Eukaryota; Viridiplantae; Streptophyta; Magnoliopsida; Brassicales; Brassicaceae. The record is from RNAcentral.
UGCUAUGGUCGUUUACGACAUAACUAAACGCGUCUCCUUCGACCACGUGGCACGUUGGGUUGAGGACUUGCGAGCUCACGCCGACGACUCCGCCGUGAUUAUGCUCGUCGGAAACAAAGCCGACCUUGCCGCCGAUAAACGCGCCGUCACGACAGAAGACGCCGUCGAGUUCGCCGAGACUCAUCGGCUAUUCUUCUCGGAAGUCUCGGCUCUAAGCGGCGGGAACGUCGACGAAGCUUUUUUCCGUCUGCUAGAGGAGAUUUUCAGCCGCGUUGUUGUUGCGAGAAAAGCUCUGGAAUGUCAGAAUGGGACUACCGCGAAACUUGACGGUUCGAGAAUUGAUGUGAUCAUCUCUGGUUCUGAUCUUGAGACUGGUAAGACGAAUGAACCAGCUUCGUGCUCGUGUUGAUUUUGAGUUUUGAGUGAUGGACUCAAGUAUGGGCCAGAAACCUCGAGACAUAGUGGGACUUUUUUUUUAAUAUCAUUUUACCCAUGUCUUUGUUUAUGGGCUUUUUAUAUAUUUUGUGAAUUGGUGGUACUUAUUCGAUACCGUCUAAAAACUAUUCAUGUCAUAUUUGAUAUCUUUUUUUCUACACCAUUUAUAAUAUUCAUUUAAUAUUAUUGUAUAUGCAAAAAUGGAAGUAUUUUAUACCUUAAACAAACAUUUGAAAUUAUUGACGUUCUUUUUUUUUUGCGCAAACUGAUUUCCAUUAAAUUGAAAAGCUUAAGUUGGGUUUAAGGCCCAUAAAACAUGUUUGACUAUAGAAUCGGCUCAAAGCUCUAGAAAUGAAAGUAAACUUGAUUAUUUUAAAUGAGAACGAUAGGAAAUAGAUGUCACGAAGAAUGCCCUAGAUUUCUAACUUCAUCUCAUGUAUGUUUAUCAUGUUGAUGAGGACAUAAGAAUCAUAAAGCACAGUGAUGAAGUCGAAUCCGUGAUUGAGGGCAAAGUUUAUGGCUGUGAAUACUGCCAUAGUUUCUGCCAUAAGAGCGAGGAGACAAAAGUCUAAGUCGCUGGAUGCUGACGUACAAAUGACAAAAAUUACACGAAAACUGCAUUGCAAAAAGCUUUCUAAUUGCUGUUAUUAGCUGUAAGUCUGUAUAUAUAUAUGCAACUAAUUAAAUCUCAGUUAAAUUUCUAAAGCCACUGUCACGCGAUUUUUAAAAUGACAAUCAAACCUUUUCACUAUAAAUAUUUCACACAUAAGUACUUUACUGUUCUUUGUUUUUUUUCGUCAACAGCUGUUCUUCGUUAAUAGGUUUUCUUCAGCUGUUAUAUGUUAUUACUUAUGAGGAACUGGUAUUACAUAUAGAGAAAAUAUAGAUCGAGAACACCAAAUUAUCAUAAAUAUGGAACUUUGUGAUUAUUAAAAAGUUUUGUUAUACGAUUUUAUGUUCUUUUAAAAGUGUUUAAUGGGGUUGAUUGUAUGAUCACAAUAUAGGUUAUACAUGAUCGUGCGUUCACCCACUCUGAUAUGAUUGUUCAUGGGGAGUUUUGUAUAGAAUUAAGUGAAAUUAUUAGAAUUUACAAUAAGAUCACUAAGCAGAUAUUUUCAUAAUAUUUUUUUAUAAACCCUAUCGGCUGAUCCGGUCGGCCCCGGGAGGAACGCGAUUAGUGAAAUAUUUUCAUAAUAUUUUUCAUGACAUCAACUGUGAGUGUCACUUAGAAUCUCGAAUAUAAUCCAAAUCCGACAUAAGAUAUGAUUCUCUUAUUUUUGCAUUCAACCGAAUAAUCUGAAGUGCUCCAAUCGCAAACUCGUUUUCUCGCCCAUGACCUAAAAAUGGUCUUUUAUAUAAUGCGCAUAUGAUUAAUCCGCCACCAAAGUGCUUUGUGACCACUUAUUUACUUAUUUAUAUGCUGAUAACUCUGUGUUAUGUGUAAAGUUACUAAUUAGUUUAAUAUUUAUAAGCAAGAGUAAGAUUCUCAUGAUAAACAUUUAAAUUAGUAUCUCCAGUAUGAUUGUAUUCAAUAAGUAUUAGCUGAAUUAAGCUAGUUGAUAGUAUAUCAUAAUUUUGACAAAUUUAACGUAACAAUUUUCAUAAUCAUUUACUGCUGUUAGAAACCUGUGUUAUAAUUAUAACUUUCCUUUUUGGGUCAAAAUUACAACUUUCUAUACAUAAAAGAGAUAACUUAAAGGAAAGGCAGUUGACUUGAGAAUAUAAAGUCAAUUGGAGAGCAAUUUGCAGGAGAAAAGUCAUAAAAGUCGUACAUUCGCCACUUGUAAUUAACAAGAGAAUCAUCGGAAAAUGGCAUCUUUGAAAAUAAUAUUGGUAAUUACGUAUACAUAUUGUUUAUAAUUUUUUAAAAAUAUAUUAUUUAUAUUGUUUUUAAGCAUAUAUCGUCUUUUGUUAUUAAGCACUACGUUAAGAUAUGCAAGUUACUUUAUUAAGAUGCAUAUAUACUCACUUCUAUUACAUAUAUAUGGUAAUAUAUAUAUGUUUCUAAAACAUAGUAUUAUAUAUGCAAACAAAGUAGAAUAUUAAUCAAUUUUAAAACUAGUUACAAUUUUUAAAAAAAAAUUAGACAACUUUUUACAAAUGAAACCAAUGGGACAGGUGUAGGAAUAGUGUCUUCAAUAUGUGUAUAGAUUAGAAAAUCUUUUGAGGAUAUAGUCAUUUGAGUGUAGCAAACAUAACAUGACAUAUGCAUAUGAUGACCACAAGUGCAUAUUGGCAGCAUAUACCCGUUUGAGCACCUACAUAUAACUUUGAACUAAUAAAUAUUUAAAUGUAUAUGAAAAACCUUUCGAAUGAUAAAUGAUUAAAUUUUAAACCAAACUAUGAUCUGGCAUUGGCUAAUAGCUUCACACUUCGUUGGCACGUCUAUUUAAAGCUUCACAAAGACGCGAACUUAAAUCACAACCCGAAAACGAAAAAUAUCACAAGAAAAGAAAAAAAAACCAUUUAUUCAGUAUGUUUUCUCUGGGUAUGAGAACCGAAAUAGAAAAUCUGUGGGUCUUUGCUCUUGCAUCAAAAUGCAAUAUUUUCAUUCAAGAACAUUUUAUUUCUCUUCUCAUCGCCGUAGCCAUCACUUGGUUUACCUUCACCAUCGUAUUUUGGUCUACACCUGGUGGACCGGCUUGGGGAAGAUACUUUUUCACUCGCCGGUUUACUUCCGGCUGUAACCAAAAAAACAAGAAUCUCAUUCCCGGUCCGAGAGGGUUUCCACUCGUGGGAAGCAUGAGCCUAAGGUCAAGCCGCGUAGCUCACCAGCGCAUAGCAGCAGUGGCUGCGAUGAGAAACGCCAAGCGGCUCAUGGCGUUUAGCCUCGGUGAUACCAAGGUGAUGGUGACGUGUCAUCCUGACGUGGCAAAGGAGAUACUGAACAGCUCGGUGUUUGCAGACCGACCUGUUGACGAAACCGCUUAUGGUUUGAUGUUUAACCGAGCCAUGGGAUUCGCUCCAAAUGGUGCUUACUGGCGUACGCUACGUCGGUUAGGUUCGAACCAUCUUUUCAACCCAAAGCAAAUCAAACGCUCGGAGGAGCAGAGACGAGUGAUCGCGACUCAGAUGGUGAAUGUAUUUGCACGUAACGCUGAAACCGCGUUUGGAGUACGUGAUUUGCUAAAAACGGCGUCGUUGUCUAACAUGAUGGGUUUAGUUUUCGGGAAACAGUAUGAACUGGAGUCUAAUAACAACGUUGAGUCGGAAUGCUUGAAGGGUUUGGUUGAAGAGGGGUACGAUCUUCUCGGUACACUUAACUGGACCGACCACCUUCCUUGGUUAGGCGGUCUAGAUUUUCAACAAGUCCGGUUCAGAUGCUCUCAGCUUGUACCGAAAGUAAACCAGUUAUUGAGCCGAAUCAUUCAUGAACACCGUGCACCUACGUGCAGUUUUCUCGACGUGUUACAUUCUCUUCAUGAUUCAGAAAAAUUAUCAGAAUCCGACAUGGUCGCUGUUCUUUGGGUACGUAAACAUUAUAUAAUUCUUGUAAUAUGUAGAACAUGGACAUUAAUAUUUCAAAUUUUUGGUCCCUUUAGGAAAUGAUAUUUAGGGGGACGGACACAGUGGCCGUGCUGAUCGAGUGGGUGCUAGCGAGGAUUGUAAUGCAUCCUAAAGUUCAGUCAACGGUCCACGAUGAGCUUGACCGAGUCGUUGGCAGAUCCAAAGCCGUUGAUGAGUCUGACCUCCCAUCUCUCACGUAUCUAACGGCUAUGAUCAAAGAAGUGUUGAGGCUGCAUCCACCAGGCCCACUUCUCUCUUGGGCUCGUCUCUCCAUAACGGACACCACCGUAGACGGAUAUCACGUGCCGGCUGGGACCACCGCGAUGGUCAACAUGUGGGCUAUAGCACGUGAUCCACACGUGUGGGAGAAUCCUUUGGAGUUUAAGCCUGAGAGGUUCGUGGCAAAAGAGGGUGAAGCUGAGUUCUCUGUUCUCGGGUCGGAUAUGAGGUUGGCACCCUUCGGGUCGGGUAAGAGAGUUUGCCCGGGAAAGAAUUUGGGGCUUGCGACGGUUUCGUUUUGGGUUGCAACGCUCUUGCAUGAGUUUGAGUGGCUUUCUAGUGUCAACGCUAACCCUCCUGAUCUUUCAGAUGUUUUGAGGCUGUCGUGCGAGAUGGCUUGUCCUCUUGUCGUUAACUUACGCUCAAGGCGUAAGAUAGCAUAAGCUUCGGUUUAGUCAAUGCACGAAUGCUUCAAAGUUAUUGGCAAAUUAAAAAAACACGUAUUCUAAUAAAACCUGGAAAACUGAUAUGUAUGCAAAGUCCAAAGUGCGAUGUAUAUUCGCCCAUCUUUUAUUGAUUAAGGGAACAUAUUAAUGUAUUUGUAUUAUAUGAAAUAAAUUUAAUAUAUGUUUCAUGCGUACGGUUUGAUGGUGAGUAAUGUUGUUAAUUUUAUUAACCAACGCAGUAGUACGGUAGUCUCGGCUCUAAAAAAACUUAAACACGUUUCAGUUUUACGUGGGCCAUUUGGUUAUUUGAACUUAAACUCAUGUGUUUGUUUCGUUAUGAACUAGUGAGAAAUUCCUUGUAAAAAUUUGUUGGCGUGAGUCGCAUGUUUCGGCUAACCUUCGGUAUGCAAUGCUAAAUCUACAGAAAAUACAAUUUGUACAUUAACUAGUGGUCGCUAUUUAAUUUAACUUAACUAACUUUUCUUAGAUAUAAGAGUUCUAAGAUAUUGGUAAUAUAUAACUAAUUAAAGUUCACUUAUCUUCAAAUGAAUUCAACGAUCAUCCUAGGAAUUAUUCCACUUAACUAAAAUAAAUAACUCUAUACUUCGCGUGUUGAACGAUUAACUGAAUUAUCUUCUCCAGCUUUAAUUAUAUCCUACUCCCAAUUGUAUAAAAUAAUAUGCUUAAUUUGCUACGAAGUUUCUUAGAAGAGCUAGGUCAGUCAACGAUUUUACUAAUGAAACAAGCAUUUGGCUGAAAUUGUGUAUAAUAGGUGUCGUCGUCGAGUGUUCGACUCAGCUAGUGUUUCUGGUUGUUCCAUUACGUGAUCUCAUUAACGCUUGUGUAAUGGACUUAUCACUUCUGAACUUCUAGCAUUUUUAUUUUGUUGUUGACCAACGCAUUAGUCCUCUUAUAUCAGUUUGUUUAUUUAACAUUCGGCAAAUACAUAUCUGACUUCCACUUUUGUUGGUGAAAACAACUUAAACACAUAUCUGACUGCUUACAAACUGUUAAGGUGAUAAAAGAAGAUAAAAAGAUUAGCCGAUUUGACAAUCUGAGAUAGAUGAUUUCUUAUAUUUUUGUUUUACUUUUAUAGAAUUUUUUCCUAUUUCUUUCAGUGCUCAACUCCUUGCUAAAAGAAUCGCAUUUUCUGGAUAAAUGUUAUUGAGUAUGAAUUAAGUCAUGAGGCUUGCCUACUUGAAUUAACGUAUAAUAUAUGGAAUUAUUUGCCAUUAAAAAAUAUUGACACUGAGUCAUUGGCGUUAAGUGGAUAAUCAUGAAUAAUGCAGUUAAUAAAUUUCUUUUACAUGCUACCACAAAGUAUAUACGGCAAUACCGAAUUACAAACUUUGUGUAAAACAACUGUUGGUCAAGACCUCUGUUUACCAGAUGAAAUCGAAAACCCAGAUUCACACAAAACUCUCGGCUCUCUUUUUGGGGGUGGGGAGGAAGAAGGAGAAAGGGGUCUCUUCAGAUUUGUGGUCUGGUUUGGUUUAAUCUGGAGGAGACGACUGCUUUUUCGCAUCUACUGUUGAAUCAUUUUUAAUUAAUUAAUUGUAUCAUUUGGAUCUUUUCAGGAGCUCUCGUUAUAAGAGGCCCUGGUUGAUUUUUAGCCCAUUGUUUUCACAUCUUUAUCUUGUCCUCUUUAUUGGGCCCUGCAGAUUUUUGUUGUUAUAUUCGAAAGAUUGAUGGUUUUUUGGUCCAGAAAUAUUGAUGUUUUAGAAUUUUAAUUGAUGUGUUUUACUUUAAAACUAAAACAUAUACUAUUUAAAUAUAAAAAUAUGAUUAUCUGAAAUUUAUUAGAAAACAUAUAAAAAUUUAAACUAAAAUAAGAGAAAUUUCCUAGGAUAGUCUUUUAAAAAACAAAUUGUCACAAAAAUAGCCCUGAAAAUGACCAAAAUAAGUUUUACCCUAGAGUUAACCAAUUUAAACUUAGGGUUUAGAGUUAAAUAGUGAAGUUUUGGGGAUAUAAUUUCAAAUUAAAAUUAAAAUAAAAAUAAAAAAUAAAUGUUAAAAUUUUCAAAAUAAAAAAAGGACUAUUUUGAUUUUUUUUUUUUUUUUGAAGGUUAUUUUUGUGACAAAAACUUAAAAAUUGUUAUUUACAAAAACUUAAAAAUGGUUAUUUGAGAGAAUUGCCUUAAAAUAAAACUAGCAAGUAAAGAUAAAAAUAAAAAUUAAUUUUUUUGUGUGAAUAAUCUUAAUUUACAUAUUUAAUUUUUCAAUUUUGGUGACAUUUACAACGAAAUAAAACAGAUAUUUAUUCAUUUAGGAUGUUGUCUUGUUCGAAAAAACAAUCCAACCGAUUAAUUUUUUUGUCUUAUACAAUCAAUAAAUUUAAUUUCAAGCAACAAGAAUGAAAAGAAAGAAAGGGACCAAAAAAAGCAAUAAAUUCAUACAUGAGGGAGGAGUAGAGAACAACCAACAAUUGAUAGAUCAUAAGAGCUUUUUAGUUGGUCUCUCCAGACAAAAUGUGGGUUUCAUAUUGAAUCAAUCAAUUGUUUUAGCAAAAUAAUAAUACUAGUAAAGAUCUUUUUCUUUAAUUAUGUCGGUUCAUGCUCACAGCUAUAUUAACAUUGUAUAUUCAUUUAAAGCUAUAUUAAGAGUAUUAAAAGAACGAACAGAGAGCAUCGUUGCUGUCUUCACAAAACAAGAUCGGCUCAAACCGUUUUUCUUCCCACUUUCUCUGUUUCACUGACUCUCCACUUACUCAAACAGAAAGGUAGUCAAAACUUUACUGAGUUUUUCCUCUUCAUCGACCCAGUUCCACCUCAACAAUGAACGAAGAGAUGAGCGGAGAGACGCCGGAGAAUAAACAUGUAAGUAGACCAACAUUGCCGGAAAAGAUCGACUACGUGUUCAAGGUGGUAGUGAUUGGUGACUCUGCGGUCGGAAAAACGCAGCUCCUUUCACGUUUUACACAGAACGAGUUCUGUUACGACUCAAAGUCCACCAUUGGUGUCGAGUUUCAGACACGUACGAUCACUCAUCAAGGCAAGCUCGUUAAAGCUCAGAUCUGGGAUACCGCCGGUCAAGAAAGGUAAAUGUCUAUCUACAUCUAUACACACAUUUAACUAUUCUUACAAAGCUGAAUCUCAGGUUGGCUUUCAAAUUAAAUUGUUUACAUAUUUUAAAGUAUAGUUUAUUUUUCUUGGAUCACGACAUUUAGAUAUGAUUUGAUUUGAUUUCCGAUCUACUUAUAAUCAUUGAUUAUACGUUUUUUUUUUUAAACUAUUGGUUUUCUAACUAUUUUGUUAUUAGAACUAAUCAAUGAGUUGUUUUACUGCGUUUUCGGAGAUUAGAUACAGAGCGGUGACAAGCGCGUAUUACAGAGGCGCGUUAGGUGCUAUGGUCGUUUACGACAUAACUAAACGCGUCUCCUUCGACCACGUGGCACGUUGGGUUGAGGACUUGCGAGCUCACGCCGACGACUCCGCCGUGAUUAUGCUCGUCGGAAACAAAGCCGACCUUGCCGCCGAUAAACGCGCCGUCACGACAGAAGACGCCGUCGAGUUCGCCGAGACUCAUCGGCUAUUCUUCUCGGAAGUCUCGGCUCUAAGCGGCGGGAACGUCGACGAAGCUUUUUUCCGUCU